This 74-nucleotide transfer RNA is filed under the name Spirochaetes bacterium ADurb.Bin133. RNAcentral's name for it is "tRNA-Met". It matches the Rfam family "tRNA". Rfam says of the family: Transfer RNA (tRNA) molecules are approximately 80 nucleotides in length. The record is from RNAcentral. RNAcentral also lists the same sequence under 1 other name. Lineage: Bacteria; Pseudomonadati; Spirochaetota.
GGGCCUUUAGCUCAGUUGGUUAGAGCAGCGGACUCAUAAUCCGCGGGUCCAGGGUUCAAGUCCCUGAGGGCCCA